AUGGAGAACGCCAACCAAGGUGUGGAUCCGCACGUGCUUGAUAUAGUCAAUUGCCCGGAUUGUGGAAGGCGGGUGGUGACGUUUGUGGCGAGGCGCAGCCAGUUUGCGGGCAAGAGGUUCUACAAGUGCCGCAACCACAACCUGGGGAGAGGCGGGUGUGAUUUCUAUUGGUGGCAACAAGCAUAUGCGGAGCACUUGGCUGGGCUUGGACCAGUCGUGCCUCCAUUGGCGCAGAUCAAUCAGGGAGAAAAUGGCAUCGGAGGAGCAGAUCAAGGUGGUCAGAUGCAGCCGGCGGAUCUAGCAGGAGGCCAGUAG
Molecule: ribosomal RNA, 315 nt
Filed under: Triticum aestivum (bread wheat)
Lineage: Eukaryota; Viridiplantae; Streptophyta; Magnoliopsida; Poales; Poaceae
Description: partial small subunit ribosomal RNA
Source: RNAcentral